RNAcentral lists this ribosomal RNA (425 nucleotides) under uncultured bacterium. RNAcentral describes it as "bacterial SSU rRNA". It matches the Rfam family "Bacterial small subunit ribosomal RNA", at positions 354 to 796 of the family's 1533-position model. The record is from RNAcentral.
GUGGGGAAUAUUGGACAAUGGGCGAAAGCCUGAUCCAGCAAUGCCGCGUGAGUGAAGAAGGCCUUCGGGUUGUAAAGCUCUUUUACCCGGGAAGAUAAUGACUGUACCGGGAGAAUAAGCCCCGGCUAACUCCGUGCCAGCAGCCGCGGUAAUACGGAGGGGGCUAGCGUUGUUCGGAAUUACUGGGCGUAAAGCGCACGUAGGCGGUCUUUUAAGUCAGAGGUGAAAGCCCGGGGCUCAACUCCGGAAUUGACUUUGAAACUGGAAGACUUGAACACGGGAGAGGUGAGUGGAAUUCCGAGUGUAGAGGUGAAAUUCGUAGAUAUUCGGAGGAACACCAGUGGCGAAGGCGGCUCACUGGACCGUUGUUGACGCUGAGGUGCGAAAGCGUGGGGAGCAAACAGGAUUAGAAACCCGAGUAGUCC